CAAGUACUCUCUCCAUCCAACAAAGGAUGUCUCAAGUUUCUCAAAAUAUGAAUGUAUCUAGAGUUCUAGACAUAACUUAGUAUAUGCAUGCAUUCAAAUUUAGUGAAAGUUGAGACAUCCUUUGUUGGACGGAGGAGGUACUAG
Brachypodium distachyon (stiff brome) is the source of this 144-nucleotide non-coding RNA. The record is from Rfam. Lineage: Eukaryota; Viridiplantae; Streptophyta; Magnoliopsida; Poales; Poaceae.